UACGUAGGGUGCGAGCGUUGUCCGGAAUUACUGGGCGUAAAGAGCUCGUAGGUGGUUUGUCGCGUUGUCCGUGAAAACUCACAACUCAAUUGUUGGCGUGCGGGCGAUACGGGCAGACUGGAGUACUGCAGGGGAGACUGGAAUUCCUGGUGUAGCGGUGGAAUGCGCAGAUAUCAGGAGGAACACCGGUGGCGAAGGCGGGUCUCUGGGCAGUAACUGACGCUGAGGAGCGAAAGCGUGGGGAGCGAACAGG
Molecule: ribosomal RNA, 253 nt
Filed under: uncultured bacterium
Lineage: Bacteria
Description: partial 16S ribosomal RNA
Rfam family: Bacterial small subunit ribosomal RNA
Source: RNAcentral